RNAcentral lists this ribosomal RNA (627 nucleotides) under Bacillus subtilis. RNAcentral describes it as "bacterial SSU rRNA". It matches the Rfam family "Bacterial small subunit ribosomal RNA", at positions 59 to 668 of the family's 1533-position model. Lineage: Bacteria; Bacillati; Bacillota; Bacilli; Caryophanales; Bacillaceae. The record is from RNAcentral.
CAGUCGAGCGGACAGAUGGGAGCUUGCUCCCUGAUGUUAGCGGCGGACGGGUGAGUAACACGUGGGUAACCUGCCUGUAAGACUGGGAUAACUCCGGGAAACCGGGGCUAAUACCGGAUGGUUGUUUGAACCGCAUGGUUCAAACAUAAAAGGUGGCUUCGGCUACCACUUACAGAUGGACCCGCGGCGCAUUAGCUAGUUGGUGAGGUAACGGCUCACCAAGGCAACGAUGCGUAGCCGACCUGAGAGGGUGAUCGGCCACACUGGGACUGAGACACGGCCCAGACUCCUACGGGAGGCAGCAGUAGGGAAUCUUCCGCAAUGGACGAAAGUCUGACGGAGCAACGCCGCGUGAGUGAUGAAGGUUUUCGGAUCGUAAAGCUCUGUUGUUAGGGAAGAACAAGUACCGUUCGAAUAGGGCGGUACCUUGACGGUACCUAACCAGAAAGCCACGGCUAACUACGUGCCAGCAGCCGCGGUAAUACGUAGGUGGCAAGCGUUGUCCGGAAUUAUUGGGCGUAAAGGGCUCGCAGGCGGUUUCUUAAGUCUGAUGUGAAAGCCCCCGGCUCAACCGGGGAGGGUCAUUGGAAACUGGGGAACUUGAGUGCAGAAGAGGAGAGUGGAAUU